Molecule: long non-coding RNA, 2040 nt
Organism: Astatotilapia calliptera (eastern happy)
Lineage: Eukaryota; Metazoa; Chordata; Actinopteri; Cichliformes; Cichlidae
Source: Ensembl
GUGGUUAUUUUAAUUUCCUGUUCCCUCCAUCAUGUUUGUACAGAUCUGAAUGCUUUUCAACAAACAAAUGAAAGUUUCUGUCUUCUUUCUUGUAGACAGACAUUUCAUCUUGAUUUGUGUUUUGCCAGUUUAGUGCUGGAAGCCACCGCAGUUCCAGUGAGAAACACAGAAUAGAGAUUGCUUACAUCAGUGGUCCCAGCUGACUGUAACAUCAGGAUUUUAUCUACUGGAUUAGGUCAGCAGCACACAACACUGAGAGAGGCGAAAAACACACAUUUAAACACCAAAAAGCUACAUAUACCUUUACUUUAAACACGCUCACUCGCUCACAUACACUCACAUACACACGCUGAUAUAUACAUACACAUAUGCACAGUCACUCGGCUAAGUUUCGAGAACGACCACACACAAACACCAGAAACCAACAGACACCAAAGUAACACCACUGACAGUACAAAAAAUCAAAAAAUAUCUCAAAAUAUACAUUUAUUAUUUACAGCUCAAGUAUACACCCUGUCACUCUUACUAUAGAUAAUCAGUGUGAAUUUAUCAGAAUGUACAUCGAUAUGUACAGAGUAAAUACACUGUCUUAAAUACUAUAAAUAUAACUAUGGCUGGUCACAUAAAGAUUAUCUGCACGGUUAAAUAAAUGUACUUUUACGUUGCUAUUGGGAAGUUCAUCUUAGUAACUGAACUGACUUAACCUCGUUAACACGUAGACAAAAGAGACCCUGGAGUUGGAAUCUUUGUUUUUGGUAAGAAAUCGAUACCUGUAUCCAGGCUAGGUUUGGACCAGAGAAGACAUUUUCCCACUUUGCUGCAGAGUUUCAGUGAUUUUUAUUGUUAGAGGGAAUCUCAGCUGUGCUUUGUCAUAUUACGGCCACUCUGCAGCCAGUAGCGCCGAUCGCUGCUAAUUGUAGAGAAAAAUAUAAGCCUGCCUGCUGUUGUGCUUUCUUCAUAUAUGACCCACUGCAUUAGCAUUAGUUCAACAUUGUUAUCUAUGUAUUGUGCAUAUCACUUUGUAGCUUCAGGUGCUUUUGUAGACUUAUGGUGCAGUUUAAUUUUUUAUGAGGAUGUAUUUCAGUGUGCAGCUUUAUGCUUUAGUGGAGUCUUGCAGGAUGCAGCAAUCACAGCUAUAUUACUGACAUGAUGUUUAAGUUUCAUCACCCCUUUCAUUCACAAUGAUUUUGAUGCUUAUUUAGACAUAAAAUUAUUUUGUGCUUACCCAAAAUGUGCUUUAUCCAAACCAAAACUGCUUUUUUUAAAAUACAGGUUAAGUGUCUACCUCAGCUUAAGUGCCAUUUCCAUCACAUGUAGUUCUCAUGCACAGUUUUUACAGGAGGCCCUGUCAGCUGCAAAGUUAAGUUGCAUCUACAGAUGUUAAUACUACUCUUUUGUAACUUGUAUCUUUUUUAUCCCCUAUAUCAUGUUUCCUUUAAUGCAGACUUUCACUCAUUAAACUCUUUCAUUUCCAUCAUGGACAGAGGUUUCUAUGAAUGAAAGACGAAGCAUCAUUUGAGAGACAGGGCAAUAGAUUUGAGCUGUAUUGUCUUAAUACCAGUCAGUCCCAAGCAAUGCAUCACAGCCAUUGUAGGUCAUCAACUAAAAGCAAGAGCCAUGCUGUAGGGGGUACUGGCCAUCGUAUCAUAGGGAUUGCUUAGCAAAAUAGGAUGCAGGGUAAUAAGAGCUCUCUGCUACUGGCUACCACAAAGGGAUGACAGGGCAAAAUUUUACAUAGUACUUCUGACAAGAUGCCAGAUGAUGAGAUUUAAAAUACUAUCAUUUUGCACUCAAAGAUAAAUGUCUUUUAGACGAUACAGCGGACUAGAUGUUUUUGCCUUGUCAUGCAUUUCUGUUGAGCCUUGUCAUCUUAAACUAUUUGGCCCCUAUAUUUACUUUGCGCUCUUUUCUUUUUUACAUGUGUGCUUAACAAACAACUCCAGGGUCUCCCCCUAAUUAAAGUGCAAAUUAAUAUGAUGGAACAUUGGUGAAAACUCUACAUAAUAAAAUAAUAAAAUAAUCAAGGGGGGAAAAAACCCC